Mus musculus (house mouse) is the source of this 1182-nucleotide long non-coding RNA. RefSeq annotates it as predicted gene 28403. The transcript has 6 exons. Lineage: Eukaryota; Metazoa; Chordata; Mammalia; Rodentia; Muridae. The record is from RefSeq and is a predicted model, not a curated record.
UGCAUCUGAAAAAGCUGAGAAUUUUCAAAUGUCCUGUUCAGGCACUGGUCCCUGUUGUCUCCCUGGUAGAUGAUGGGACUGAAGACCACAAACUUGCUUCCUCUCACCUGCCUUCACUAUGGGUGUUCUUGAACUGAACCUUCACUGAUGUUUCCUGCAUUGAGUAAAGAUCAGCAGCUCUCCAGGAACCCUGCAAGACUGGGACUGCUGAGGCCCCUAGCCUUGAAGACAGAACAACUACUGGGUUAUCAUCCUCCCUAGUGAGGGAUAGCAACUGUGGGAUUACUCCAGAUGUUUACCACCCAAGUAAUGCCUCGGUCUCUGCUCUCAGAUAAGCGUAAUAUAGGGGUGUAGCCAAGAUGUCAGAAUGCUUGCCAAACAUGUGAAAAUCCCUGAGUUCAACCUCCAGCAUCACAUAAAAUAGCCCGUGGGGUUGUAUACCUAUAUUUCUAGCACUUGGAGAUAGCAGAGGAGGAUCAGAUAUUCAAGGUCAACCUCAACUACCAGGUACAAAAAAAUCUGUCCAGAAUGUUUCUGUGAAUACUGCAGAAAUCAUUUACUCGUGGGAGAUUGCAAGCACCAAGGAGCUGUUUUAGAGUGUUUUGCUCACAGGACUCCAAAGACAGGAAGGCAUUUUUAUGGGUUAGUGCCACAUCAGAUGGGAGAUUGGAGUGUCCUCUGCCUUGGGCACCUGGUGAGACUAUGCUGAUGACCACACUGAAGAUGGGAGAUUGGAGUGUCCUCUGCCUUGGGCACCUGGUGAGACUAUGCUGAUGACCACACUGAAGAUGGGAGAUUGGAGUGUCCUCUGCCUUGGGCACCUGGUGAGACUAUGCUGAUGACCACACCGAUCCAGUGGCUUCUCUGGCACCAGAACAGUAUCAGCACCAUCUGACCCUCUCUCUACCCAUCUUAAAGAACAUAUUGUCUGAGCAGCAUGAUGACAGUUCUGAGCUUCCUGCUGCCUCUGUUUUAAUUUGUUGAUAUUUUCAUUUAACUACUCUGAUGGGAACAUUAAAUCAAUGUGGUUGAUUUUUGAAGAAUGCAAUCUAGAAAAUUCAAUUAUUUAGUGCCUGGAAGGCUUCAGAGAUUAAAAUGCUGCAUUUAAAAAAAUGUAAGGAUUAUUAAAAUUAAGUGCAUGUUUUUUUUCCAUGCAAUUAAAUUGAAUUGUUAAAAGGGUUU